GCCGGGCGAGGUGGCGGGCACCUGUAGUCCCAGCUGCUUGGGAGGCUGAGGCAGGAGAAUGGCGUGAACCCGGGAGGCGGAGCUUGCAGUGAGCCCAGAUCACGCCACUGCACUCCAGCCUGGGCGACAGAGCGAGACUCCAUCUCAAAAAAAAAAAAAAGACGGAGUCUCGCUCUGUCGCCCAGGCUGGAGUGCAGUGGCCCGAUGCCGGCUCACUGCAACCUCUGCCUCCCGGGUUCAAGCGAUUCUCCUGCCUCCA
This 259-nucleotide signal recognition particle RNA is filed under the name Macaca fascicularis (crab-eating macaque). RNAcentral's name for it is "Metazoan signal recognition particle RNA (ENSMFAG00000049567.1)". It matches the Rfam family "Metazoan signal recognition particle RNA". Rfam says of the family: The signal recognition particle (SRP) is a universally conserved ribonucleoprotein. Lineage: Eukaryota; Metazoa; Chordata; Mammalia; Primates; Cercopithecidae. The record is from Rfam by way of RNAcentral.